Molecule: ribosomal RNA, 301 nt
Filed under: uncultured bacterium
Lineage: Bacteria
Description: partial 16S ribosomal RNA
Rfam family: Bacterial small subunit ribosomal RNA
Source: RNAcentral
CAGUAGCCACGGGAACACAGAGGGUGCGAGCGUUAAUCGGAUUUACUGGGCGUAAAGCGUGCGUAGGCGGCUUCUUAAGUCGGAUGUGAAAUCCCUGAGCUUAACUUAGGAAUUGCAUUCGAUACUGGGAAGCUAGAGUAUGGGAGAGGAUGGUAGAAUUCCAGGUGUAGCGGUGAAAUGCGUAGAGAUCUGGAGGAAUACCGAUGGCGAAGGCAGCCAUCUUGCCUAAUACUGACGCUGAGGUACGAAAGCAUGGGGAGCAAACAGGAUUAGAUACCCGGGUAGUCCCUGUCUCUUAUAC